CAAUAGCGUAUAUUAAAGUUGUUGCAGUUAAAACGCUCGUAGUUGAACAUCUGCCUUUUUCCGGCUAGGUCCGCUUUGCGUGCACCUUCCGAAAUCGGCAUCCGUCUGCGCUGCUUCCGCAUUGCAGACCGUUCACUUUGAGGAAAUUAGAGUGUUCAAAGCAGGCUUACGCCUUGAAUACUUCAGCAUGGAAUGAUUGAUAGGACUUCUAUCCUAUCCUGGUUCUAGGGACAGAAGUAAUGGUAAACAGGGUCGGUUGGGGGCAUUCGUACUGAACAGUCAGAGGUGAAAUUCUUAGAUUUGUUCAAGACGAACAACUGCGAAAGCAUUUGCCAAGAAGGACGACCCCAUUAA
This 354-nucleotide ribosomal RNA is filed under the name uncultured eukaryote. RNAcentral's name for it is "partial 18S ribosomal RNA". It matches the Rfam family "Eukaryotic small subunit ribosomal RNA", at positions 592 to 976 of the family's 1831-position model. The record is from RNAcentral.